AAUAGGCGCCAGUUGUCAGGUGCUCGACGCUGUGUUCUUGCAGCCAAGAGUGAAACUGGGAAACAGGUGCGUGAAUUCACAUUCGCAAUGCCUGUGCUGCCCCCGCAACGGUAAGCAAGUGCGGGUCUAUCAACAUGCCACUGAGUGCAAACUCGGGAAGGCGAUAGAUCAAAACUUGCAAGCCCGGAGACCGGCCUCACAACCAACCAUUUG
RNAcentral lists this non-coding RNA (213 nucleotides) under Methylophilus sp. The record is from RNAcentral. Lineage: Bacteria; Pseudomonadati; Pseudomonadota; Betaproteobacteria; Nitrosomonadales; Methylophilaceae.